This 491-nucleotide ribosomal RNA is filed under the name uncultured bacterium. Its description in RNAcentral is "bacterial SSU rRNA". It matches the Rfam family "Bacterial small subunit ribosomal RNA", at positions 28 to 526 of the family's 1533-position model. The record is from RNAcentral.
GACGAACGCUGGCGGCGCGCCUAACACAUGCAAGUCGAACGGGAUCUAUUAGAGAGCUUGCUCUUUGGCAGAUCUAGUGGCGGACGGGUGAGUAACACGUGAGCAACCUGCCUUUCAGAGGGGGAUAACGUUUGGAAACGAACGCUAAUACCGCAUAACAUACCGAGGUGGCAUCAUUUUGGUAUCAAAGGAGAAAUCCGCUGGAAGAUGGGCUCGCGCCCGAUUAGAUAGUUGGUGGGGUAAUGGCCCACCAAGUCUGCGAUCGGUAGCCGGACUGAGAGGUUGAUCGGCCACAUUGGGACUGAGACACGGCCCAGACUCCUACGGGAGGCAGCAGUGGGGAAUAUUGCACAAUGGGGGAAACCCUGAUGCAGCGACGCCGCGUGAGUGAAGACGGCCUUCGGGUUGUAAAGCUCUGUCGCAGGGGACGAUAAUGACGGUACCCUGUGAGAAAGCCACGGCUAACUACGUGCCAGCAGCCGCCGUAAAAC